Molecule: non-coding RNA, 100 nt
Organism: Acanthosepion pharaonis
Lineage: Eukaryota; Metazoa; Mollusca; Cephalopoda; Sepiida; Sepiidae
Source: the annotation of a GenBank genome assembly
UUACGGCCACAUCACGUUGAAGCAACGGUCCCCGUACGAUCACCGAAGAUAAGCAACGUAGGGCCUGAUCAUUACUUAGAUGAGUGACCGUUUUGCAUUA